CUAGAAGGUUCUUUGGUUGGUGAUCCCUCCUCUGUGGAGUUUCCCUUGUGAGCCUAGCUCUUCAGAGGCAGAUGCAUGGGGUUUCACAUGGAGCUCCGCUAAUAGGCUGUCUCUUGGCAAUCAUCAAAUCUGUUCGUGCUGAAGAUGUUCAUGAGACCUCUGAUCAGUGAGAGGAACUGGAAUAUUUGAACAAUCCAAAGUGAAUGGGAACUGUUUAUCUCAGGAAAUCAGGAUACUUUCACUCAAUUCUCC
Lagopus muta (rock ptarmigan) is the source of this 252-nucleotide long non-coding RNA. RefSeq lists it as uncharacterized. Lineage: Eukaryota; Metazoa; Chordata; Aves; Galliformes; Phasianidae. The transcript has 3 exons. The record is from RefSeq and is a predicted model, not a curated record.